UACGGAGGUUCCAAGCGUUGUUCGGAUUUACUGGGCGUAAAGGGAGCGCAGGCGGAUGGGUGUGUCUAAAGUGGAAGCCCGGGGCUUAACCUCGGAACGCCUUUGGAUACUGCCCGUCUUGAGUACGUGAGAGGAAGGCGGAAUUCAGGGUGUAGCGGUGAAAUGCUUAGAUAUCCUGAGGAACACCAAUGGCGAAAGCAGCCUUCUGGCACGAUACUGACGCUGAGGCUCGAAAGCGUGGGGAGCGAACGGG
This 253-nucleotide ribosomal RNA is filed under the name uncultured bacterium. RNAcentral's name for it is "partial 16S ribosomal RNA". It matches the Rfam family "Bacterial small subunit ribosomal RNA", at positions 524 to 776 of the family's 1533-position model. The record is from RNAcentral.